AUUAAGCAUAUCAAUAAGCGGAGGAAAAGAAACCAACAGGGAUUGCCUCAGUAACGGCGAGUGAAGCGGCAACAGCUCAAAUUUGAAAUCUGGCUCUUCUAGGGUCCGAGUUGUAAUUUGUAGAAGAUGCUUCGGGUGUGGCUCCGGUCUAAGUUCCUUGGAACAGGACGUCAUAGAGGGUGAGAAUCCCGUAUGUGACUGGUUGCCUUCGCCCAUGUGAAGCUCUUUCAACGAGUCGAGUUGUUUGGGAAUGCAGCUCAAAAUGGGUGGUAAAUUUCAUCUAAAGCUAAAUAUUGGCCAGAGACCGAUAGCGCACAAGUAGAGUGAUCGAAAGAUGAAAAGCACUUUGGAAAGAGAGUUAAACAGUACGUGAAAUUGUUGAAAGGGAAGCGCUUGCAACCAGACUUGCGUGCGGUCGAUCAUCCGGUGUUCUCACCGGUGCACUCGAUCGUAUUCAGGCCAGCAUCGGUUUCGGUGGUUGGAUAAAGGCCUUGGGAAUGUAGCUUCUCUCGGGGAGUGUUAUAGCCCAAGGUGCAAUGCAGCCUACCGGGACCGAGGACCGCGCUUCGGCUAGGAUGCUGGCGUAAUGGUUGUAAGCGACCCGUCUUGAAACACGGACCAAGGAGUCUAACAUCUAUGCGAGUGUUUGGGUGUCAAACCCAUACGCGUAAUGAAAGUGAACGGAGGUGAGAACCCUUAAGGGUGCAUCAUCGACCGAUCCUGAUGUCUUCGGAUGGAUUUGAGUAAGAGCAUAGCUGUUGGGACCCGAAAGAUGGUGAACUAUGCCUGAAUAGGGUGAAGCCAGAGGAAACUCUGGUGGAGGCUCGCAGCGGUUCUGACGUGCAAAUCGAUCGUCAAAUUUGGGUAUAGGGGCGAAAGACUAAUCGAACCAUCUAGUAGCUGGGUUCCUGCCGAAGU
Molecule: ribosomal RNA, 918 nt
Filed under: Leptodontidium elatius var. elatius
Lineage: Eukaryota; Fungi; Ascomycota; Leotiomycetes; Helotiales; Leptodontidiaceae
Description: LSU rRNA
Rfam family: Eukaryotic large subunit ribosomal RNA
Source: RNAcentral